Molecule: ribosomal RNA, 498 nt
Filed under: uncultured bacterium
Lineage: Bacteria
Description: partial 16S ribosomal RNA
Rfam family: Bacterial small subunit ribosomal RNA
Source: RNAcentral
ACGAACGCUGGCGGCGUGCCUAAUACAUGCAAGUCGAGCGAAGUUUUUCUGGUGCUUGCACUGGAAAAACUUAGCGGCGAACGGGUGAGUAACACGUAAAGAACCUGCCUCAUAGACUGGGACAACUAUUGGAAACGAUAGCUAAUACCGGAUAACAGUAUUUCUCGCAUGAGAGAUAUUUAAAAGUUGGUUAUGCUAACACUAUGAGAUGGCUUUGCGGUGCAUUAGCUAGUUGGUGGGGUAAAGGCCCACCAAGGCGACGAUGCAUAGCCGACCUGAGAGGGUGAUCGGCCACACUGGGACUGAGACACGGCCCAGACUCCUACGGGAGGCAGCAGUAGGGAAUCUUCCGCAAUGGGCGAAAGCCUGACGGAGCAACGCCGCGUGAGUGAAGAAGGAUUUCGGUUCGUAAAGCUCUGUUGUUAGGGAAGAAUGGAUAUGUAGUAACUAUACAUGUAAGAGACGGUACCUAACCAGAAAGCCACGGCUAACUACGUG